RNAcentral lists this long non-coding RNA (558 nucleotides) under Trifolium pratense (red clover). RNAcentral's name for it is "long non-coding RNA (TPRA_LNC001398)". Lineage: Eukaryota; Viridiplantae; Streptophyta; Magnoliopsida; Fabales; Fabaceae. The record is from RNAcentral.
AAAGGCUAAGAUCAAUUUAAUUGUAGUUAAAAAAAUCAUAGAAUUUUUACUUAUAAAGUGAAACUUUUUGAUCAAUUUAUGAAAUACAAAGGAGGAAAAAUAUGACUCAAAUUCUCAAGUUUGUUGUUUAUGCUUUGAUAAUAUUUCUUUCAUUAUUUCUUGUUGUAGCCAAUGGUGGUAAGUCAUUUUCUUGGCAAUAUUUUCAAUUUUUCUAUAUAAUGUACACAAUAUUUAUGACUAUGACUAAAAAUAAUUUAUUUUUAUUUGACAAUCAAUGCAGGUUUUUUCAUUUGCAAAGAUGUUGAUGAUUGUCCAAAACAAUUGUGUUUCGAAUCUCAAACAUCGCUAUGCAUGUAUUUUAGAUGUGAAUGUAUUUAAGAGUAACAAUUAUGUUGAGAAAUAAUUUUAUCUUAAACCGGUGAGAGAUUUAAUUGAACUCUCACCUUAGACGUCACAUAUGUUUUUAUGAUAUUUCAAUUUCUUUGAAAAUCUCAAAAGCAUAUUAUUAUUAUUAUUAUUAUUAUUAUUAUUAUUAUUAAUAAAAGUGUUGUUGCUUUG